GAUGAACGCUGGCGGCGUGCCUAAUACAUGCAAGUCGAGCGAACAGACGAGGAGCUUGCUCCUCUGACGUUAGCGGCGGACGGGUGAGUAACACGUGGAUAACCUACCUAUAAGACUGGGAUAACUUCGGGAAACCGGAGCUAACACCGGAUAAUAUAUUGAACCGCAUGGUUCAAUAGUGAAAGACGGUUUUGCUGUCACUUAUAGAUGGAUCCGCGCCGCAUUAGCUAGUUGGUAAGGUAACGGCUUACCAAGGCGACGAUGCGUAGCCGACCUGAGAGGGUGAUCGGCCACACUGGAACUGAGACACGGUCCAGACUCCUACGGGAGGCAGCAGUAGGGAAUCUUCCGCAAUGGGCGAAAGCCUGACGGAGCAACGCCGCGUGAGUGAUGAAGGUCUUCGGAUCGUAAAACUCUGUUAUUAGGGAAGAACAAAUGUGUAAGUAACUAUGCACGUCUUGACGGUACCUAAUCAGAAAGCCACGGCUAACUACGUG
This 497-nucleotide ribosomal RNA is filed under the name uncultured bacterium. RNAcentral's name for it is "partial 16S ribosomal RNA". It matches the Rfam family "Bacterial small subunit ribosomal RNA", at positions 28 to 507 of the family's 1533-position model. The record is from RNAcentral.